Molecule: ribosomal RNA, 631 nt
Filed under: uncultured bacterium
Lineage: Bacteria
Description: bacterial SSU rRNA
Rfam family: Bacterial small subunit ribosomal RNA
Source: RNAcentral
GCUUGCUUUCUCCGCUGACGAGCGGCGGACGGGUGAGUAAUGUCUGGGGAUCUGCCUGAUGGAGGGGGAUAACUACUGGAAACGGUAGCUAAUACCGCAUAACGUCGCAAGACCAAAGUGGGGGACCUUCGGGCCUCAUGCCAUCAGAUGAACCCAGAUGGGAUUAGCUAGUAGGUGAGGUAAUGGCUCACCUAGGCGACGAUCCCUAGCUGGUCUGAGAGGAUGACCAGCCACACUGGAACUGAGACACGGUCCAGACUCCUACGGGAGGCAGCAGUGGGGAAUAUUGCACAAUGGGCGCAAGCCUGAUGCAGCCAUGCCGCGUGUAUGAAGAAGGCCUUCGGGUUGUAAAUUACUUUCAGUAGGGAGGAAGGUGUACGUGUUAAUAGCACGUGCAAUUGACGUUACCUACAGAAGAAGCACCGGCUAACUCCGUGCCAGCAGCCGCGGUAAUACGGAGGGUGCAAGCGUUAAUCGGAAUUACUGGGCGUAAAGCGCACGCAGGCGGUUUGUUAAGUUGGAUGUGAAAUCCCCGGGCUUAACCUGGGAACUGCAUCCAAGACUGGCAAGCUAGAGUCUCGUAGAGGGAGGUAGAAUUCCAGGUGUAGCGGUGAAAUGCGUAGAGAUCUGG